GAUGAAGAACGCAGCGAAAUGCGAUACGUAAUGUGAAUUGCAGAAUUCAGUGAAUCAUCGAAUCUUUGAACGCAUAUUGCGCUCUCUGGUAUUCCGGAGAGCAUGCUUGUUUGAGUAUCAGUAAACACCUCAACUUCCAUAUCUUUUUUGAAAUGGGAGUUGGACUUGAGUGAUCCCAACGCUUUUCCUCACCGAAAAGUGGCGGGUUACUUGAAAUGCAGGUGCAGCUGGACUUUUCUCUGAGCUAAAAGCAUAUCUAUUUAGUCUGCCUAAAAAACAGAUUAUUACCUUUGCUGCAGCUAACAUAAAGGAGAUUAGUUCUUGUGCUGACUGAUGCAGGAUUCACAGAGACAGCUUCGGCUGGCCUUUGUAAACUCGAUCUCAAAUCAAGUAAGACUACCCGCUGAACUUAAGCAUAUCAAUAAGCGGAGGA
This 433-nucleotide unclassified non-coding RNA is filed under the name soil metagenome. RNAcentral describes it as "partial contains 5.8S ribosomal RNA, internal transcribed spacer 2, and large subunit ribosomal RNA". The stretch from base 1 to 120 matches the Rfam family "5.8S ribosomal RNA", at positions 35 to 154 of the family's 154-position model. The record is from RNAcentral.